CAGUAGCCGCGGGAAAACGUAGGGUGCAAGCGUUAAUCGGAAUUACUGGGCGUAAAGCGUGCGCAGGCGGUUAUAUAAGACAGAUGUGAAAUCCCCGGGCUCAACCUGGGAACUGCAUUUGUGACUGUAUAGCUAGAGUACGGCAGAGGGGGAUGGAAUUCCGCGUGUAGCAGUGAAAUGCGUAGAUAUGCGGAGGAACACCGAUGGCGAAGGCAAUCCCCUGGGCCUGUACUGACGCUCAUGCACGAAAGCGUGGGGAGCAAACAGGAUUAGAUACCCCGGUAGUCCCUGUCUCUUAUAC
RNAcentral lists this ribosomal RNA (301 nucleotides) under uncultured bacterium. RNAcentral's name for it is "partial 16S ribosomal RNA". It matches the Rfam family "Bacterial small subunit ribosomal RNA", at positions 509 to 807 of the family's 1533-position model. The record is from RNAcentral.